GUGCUCGCUUCAGCAGCACAUACACUAAAAUUGGAAUGAUACAGAGAAGAUUAGCAUGGCCGCUGCACAAGGAUGACAUGCAAAUUCGUGAAGCAUUCCAUAUUUUU
RNAcentral lists this small nuclear RNA (107 nucleotides) under Vicugna pacos (alpaca). Lineage: Eukaryota; Metazoa; Chordata; Mammalia; Artiodactyla; Camelidae. The record is from RNAcentral.